RNAcentral lists this ribosomal RNA (253 nucleotides) under uncultured bacterium. Its description in RNAcentral is "partial 16S ribosomal RNA". It matches the Rfam family "Bacterial small subunit ribosomal RNA", at positions 524 to 776 of the family's 1533-position model. The record is from RNAcentral.
GACAGAGGGUGCAAACGUUGCUCGGAAUUAUUGGGCGUAAAGGGCGCGUAGGCGGCUCGACAAGUCAAAGGUGAAAUCCCUCGGCUCAACUGAGGAACUGCCUUUGAAACUGUCUGGCUUGAGGCCGGGAGGGGGUAGCGGAAUUCCCAGUGUAGCGGUGAAAUGCGUAGAUAUUGGGAGGAACACCAGUGGCGAAGGCGGCUACCUGGACCGGUUCUGACGCUGAUGCGCGAAAGCGUGGGUAGCAAACAGG